This 326-nucleotide long non-coding RNA is filed under the name Phoenix dactylifera (date palm). RNAcentral's name for it is "long non-coding RNA (PDAC_LNC008942)". The record is from RNAcentral. Lineage: Eukaryota; Viridiplantae; Streptophyta; Magnoliopsida; Arecales; Arecaceae.
CUAGAGAGUUUGCUAUUUGGCUUAGACUAACCUCAAGUUUUGCAAUUGCUUGCAUAUGGAAUUGGUUAGUCUAUGCUUGGGCUGUAUUGGUCUGUUGUUGUUGCUUGAUAAAAUCUUGUUGUUGUUUCAUCAUAUUAGCCAUCAUGGUUUCUAAUGGUGAAGGUUGUUGUAGGAUAGGGGCAUUAUAAGGAGGUACACAUGAAACCAAAGGUUGAUUCAUUUGUGAUGGACCUAUCCUGGGGAAGUUGUUCUGAAAACCUGGUAGACCACCUUGAUGCUGAAUAGGUUCAUUUUGCUUGUAUGAGAAAUUUGGGUGGAACCUAUUA